ACGAAAUGAGGAACGCGACACAAAGAAGCUGAUUGGUCUGAGCUGCUGUUUGAACUGACUCCUCGAGGACGCGCAUUUCUGUCAGUGUUUGCUGAUUCCAAGAAGUGCAGUGCUGAGCUAAAGAAAAAGAUGAUCUGGAAAUUGAUGGAACCCUUUCACUUCCAUUUUAUGAAUCACCAAGGACCAUGGAUUCAGUCACCUACAUUUUAAAUGGCCUGAGGGCUUCUGAUGAUGAGGAGUCACACCAAAACGUUCCAAUCGGAAUCUGCGAAAACGAAGAUGUUGCACAGCAUCCCCUGUCUUUCUCCUCCAUCCCGUAAAGAAUCGUCUCAGAGGGUAAUCUUAGGAAGGACGUUUUAGAGAACCUCCCUCAGGCCAUUUGUUCUUGUUUUUGGAUUGACUUAUGCCUUGCAUCUUGAUUAAUGAGCAAUGAGCUCAUUGAUUAACGAGCAAUACAUUAAACACAUACAUUUUCUCUUGGUUUUAUUAGACAAAAUCUCAACAUACCUAAAGUUACCUGA
Onychostoma macrolepis is the source of this 521-nucleotide long non-coding RNA. RefSeq lists it as uncharacterized. The transcript is spliced from 4 exons. The record is from RefSeq and is a predicted model, not a curated record. Lineage: Eukaryota; Metazoa; Chordata; Actinopteri; Cypriniformes; Cyprinidae.